AAUUUUGGACAAUGGGGGAAACCCUGAUCCAGCCAUCCCGCGUGUAUGAUGAAGGCCUUCGGGUUGUAAAGUACUUUUGGCAGAGAAGAAAAGGUAUCUCCUAAUACGAGAUACUGCGGACGGUAUCUGCAGAAUAAGCACCGGCUAACUACGUGCCAGCCGCCGCGGUAAUACGGAGGGUGCAAGCGUUAAACGGAAUUACUGGGCGUAAAGCAUGCGAAGGCGGUUCGGAAAGAAAGAUGUGAAAGCCCAGGGCUCAACCGUGGAACUGCAUUUUUAACUGCCGAGCUAGAGUAUGUCAGAGGGGGGUAGAAUUCCACGUGUAGCAGUGAAAUGCGUAGAUAUGUGGAGGAAUACCGAUGGCGAAGGCAGCCCCCUGGGAUAAUACUGACGCUCAGACACGAAAGCGUGGGGAGCAAACAGGA
This 425-nucleotide ribosomal RNA is filed under the name uncultured bacterium. RNAcentral describes it as "partial 16S ribosomal RNA". It matches the Rfam family "Bacterial small subunit ribosomal RNA", at positions 360 to 777 of the family's 1533-position model. The record is from RNAcentral.